CCCUUAGAUGUCCGGGGCCGCACGCGCGCUACACUGAAGGAAUCAGCGUGGCUUUCUCCCUGACCCGAAAGGGUUGGGAAACCCGUUGAAUCUCCUUCGUGAUAGGGAUUGGGGCUUGAAAUUGUUCCCCAUGAACGAGGAAUUCCCAGUAAGCGCGAGUCAUAAGCUCGCGUUGAUUACGUCCCUGCCCUUUGUACACACCGCCCUGCGCUACUACCGAUUGAACGGUUUAGUGAGGGCCUCGGAUUGGUCUCGGCCCGCUCUUUACCGGGCGGCGCCGUUGGUCGAGAAGACGCUCGAACUUGAUCGUUUAGAGGAAGUAAAAGUCGUAACA
Molecule: ribosomal RNA, 334 nt
Filed under: uncultured eukaryote
Lineage: Eukaryota
Description: partial 18S ribosomal RNA
Rfam family: Eukaryotic small subunit ribosomal RNA
Source: RNAcentral